UUCCGGUUGAUCCUGCCGGACCUGACUGCUAUCGGAUUGAUACUAAGCCAUGCUAGUCUUUGUAGUAAUACAAGGCAUACGGCUCAGUAACGCGUAGUCAACCUACCCUAUGGACGGGGAUAAUCUCGGGAAACUGAGCAUAAUACCCGGCAGACCACUUAUCCUGGAAUGGUUAGUGGUUAAAAUGAUUCGUCGCCAUAGGAUGGGACUGCGGCCUAUCAGCUUGUUGGUGAGGUAAUGGCCCACCAAGGCGAUUACAGGUACGGGCUCUGAGAGGAGAGGCCCGGAGAUGGGUACUGAGACAAGGACCCAGGCCCUAUGGGGCGCAGCAGGCGAGAAAACUUUGCAAUGUGCGAAAGCACGACAAGGUUAAUCCGAGUGAUUCUGCUAAAGGAAUCUUUUGUUAGUUCUAAAAAUACUAGUGAAUAAGGGGUGGGCAAGUUCUGGUGUCAGCCGCCGCGGUAAAACCAGCACCUCAAGUGGUCAGGAGGAUUAUUGGGCCUAAAGCAUCCGUAGCCUGUUCUAUAAGUUUGCGGUUAAAUCUAUACGCUCAACGUAUAGGCUGCCGUAAAUACUGUAGAACUAGGGAGUGGGAGAGGUAGACGGUACUCGAUAGGAAGGGGUAAAAUCCUUUGAUCUAUUGAUGACCACCUGUGGCGAAGGCGGUCUACCAGAACACGUUCGACGGUGAGGGAUGAAAGCUGGGGGAGCAAACCGGAUUAGAUACCCGGGUAGUCCCAGCUGUAAACGAUGCAGACUCGAUGAUGCAAUGGCAUAGAGCUAUUGCAGUAUCGCAGGGAAGCCGUUAAGUCUGCCGCCUGGGAAGUACGUACGCAAGUAUGAAACUUAAAGGAAUUGGCGGGGGAGCACCACAAGGGGUGAAGCCUGCGGUUCAAUUGGAAUCAACGCCGGA
RNAcentral lists this ribosomal RNA (913 nucleotides) under uncultured archaeon. Its description in RNAcentral is "bacterial SSU rRNA". It matches the Rfam family "Archaeal small subunit ribosomal RNA", at positions 1 to 922 of the family's 1478-position model. The record is from RNAcentral.